Molecule: ribosomal RNA, 468 nt
Filed under: uncultured bacterium
Lineage: Bacteria
Description: partial 16S ribosomal RNA
Rfam family: Bacterial small subunit ribosomal RNA
Source: RNAcentral
GACGAACGCUGGCGGCGUGCUUAACACAUGCGAGUCGAACGGAAAGGCCCUGCUUUUGUGGGGUGCCCGAGUGGCGAACGGGUGAGUAGCACGUGAGUAACCUGCCCUUGACUUUGGGAUAACUUCAGGAAACUGGGGCUAAUACCGGAUAGGAGCUCCUGCUGCAUGGUGGGGGUUGGAAAGUUUCGGCGGUUGGGGAUGGACUCGCGGCUUAUCAGCUUGUUGGUGGGGUAGUGGCUUACCAAGGCUUUGACGGGUAGCCGGCCUGAGAGGGUGACCGGCCACAUUGGGACUGAGAUACGGCCCAGACUCCUACGGGAGGCAGCAGUGGGGAAUAUUGCACAAUGGGCGGAAGCCUGAUGCAGCAACGCCGCGUGCGGGAUGACGGCCUUCGGGUUGUAAACCGCUUUCGCCUGUGACGAAGCGUGAGUGACGGUAAUGGGUAAAGAAGCACCGGCUAACUACGUG